Molecule: ribosomal RNA, 449 nt
Filed under: uncultured bacterium
Lineage: Bacteria
Description: SSU rRNA
Rfam family: Bacterial small subunit ribosomal RNA
Source: RNAcentral
AGAGCGAACGCUGGCGGCAGGCUUAACACAUGCAAGUCGAGCGGGCGUAGCAAUACGUCAGCGGCAGACGGGUGAGUAACGCGUGGGAACGUACCUUUUGGUUCGGAACAACACAGGGAAACUUGUGCUAAUACCGGAUAAGCCCUUACGGGGAAAGAUUUAUCGCCAAAAGAUCGGCCCGCGUCUGAUUAGCUAGUUGGUGAGGUAACGGCUCACCAAGGCGACGAUCAGUAGCUGGUCUGAGAGGAUGAUCAGCCACAUUGGGACUGAGACACGGCCCAAACUCCUACGGGAGGCAGCAGUGGGGAAUAUUGGACAAUGGGCGCAAGCCUGAUCCAGCCAUGCCGCGUGAGUGAUGAAGGCCCUAGGGUUGUAAAGCUCUUUUGUGCGGGAAGAUAAUGACGGUACCGCAAGAAUAACGCCCCGGCUAACUUCGUGCCAGCAGCCGC